GAAAUGCGAUAAGUAAUGUGAAUUGCAGAAUUCAGUGAAUCAUCGAAUCUUUGAACGCACCUUGUGCUCCUUGGUAUUCCUUGGAGCAUGCCUGUUUGAGUAUCAUGAAAUCUUCAAAGUAAAUCUUUUGUUAACUCAAUUGGUUUCUACUUUGGUAUUGGAGGUCUUUGCAGCUUCACACCUGCUCCUCUUUGUUCAUUAGCUGGAUCUCAGUGUUAUGCUUGGUUCCACUCGGCGUGAUAAGUUAUCUAUCGCUGAGGACACUGUAAAAGGUGGCCAAGGUAAAUGCAGAUGAACCGCUUCUAAUAGUCCAUUGACUUGGACAAUACUUUUAUGAUCUGAUAUCAAAUCAGGUAGGACUACCCGCUGAACUUGAGC
Molecule: unclassified non-coding RNA, 378 nt
Filed under: plant metagenome
Description: partial contains 5.8S ribosomal RNA, internal transcribed spacer 2, and large subunit ribosomal RNA
Rfam family: 5.8S ribosomal RNA (bases 1-105)
Source: RNAcentral